CACAUAGGUUUGGUCCCAGCCUUAAAAUCAAUUAUUACUUGACUUACACAUGCAAGUCUCCGCACACCCGUGAAAACGCCCCUACCCCCACCUAGGAAUAAGGAGCCGAUAUCAGGCACAACAUUAACCCAAGACAUCUAGCCACGCCACACCCACAAGGGUCUUCAGCAGUGAUUAACAUUAAAAAUAAACGUCAGUUUGACUUAGUCAAUGAAAAUAGAGCCGGCCAACCUGGUGCCAGCCGCCGCGGUUACACCACGCGGCUCAAAUUGAUUCCAUGCGGCGUAAAGCGUGAUUAAAGAGACAGACCACUGGGGUUGAACUUAAACUAAGUUGUAAAAUACUUGUUUGUAAGAAACCUUAACCCGAAAGAUACCCCAGCCCACCAACUUGAACUCACGAUAACUAGGACACAAACUGGGAUUAGAUACCCCACUAUGCCUAGUCAUAAACUUUUACUUACACCUCAUCGCCAGGGAACUACGAGCAAAGCUUAAAACCCAAAGGACUUGACGGUGCCCCAUACCCAUCUAGAGGAGCCUGUCCUAUAACCGAUACCCCCCGUUUAACCUCACCAUUUUUAGUCUAUCAGCCUGUAUACUUCCGUCGUCAGCUUACCGCAUGAGCGAAUCAAGUAAGCUUAAUGUCAUCAUCAAUACGCCAGGUCAAAGUGCAGCAAAUAAAGUGGCAAGAGAUGGGCUACACUUUCUAUCUUAGAAAAUACGAAAGACUGUAUGAAACUACAGCCAGAAGGUGGAUUUAGCAGUAAGAUGAAAAUAGAAUAUUCCUCUUAACUCGGCACUGGGGUGUGUACACACCGCCCGUCACCCUCUUCAACAAACCCACCUAGUACCUAACAGUAGCUAUUAUUAUAGAAGAGGUAAGUCGUAACAUGGUAAGUAUACCGGAAGGUGUGCUUGGAA
This 923-nucleotide non-coding RNA is filed under the name Pristimantis galdi. RNAcentral's name for it is "12S ribosomal RNA". It matches the Rfam family "Bacterial small subunit ribosomal RNA". The record is from RNAcentral. Lineage: Eukaryota; Metazoa; Chordata; Amphibia; Anura; Strabomantidae.